UACGUAGGCAGCAAGCGUUGUUCGGAGUUACUGGGCGUAAAGGGUGUGUAGGCGGUUGGAUAAGUGUGGUGUGAAAUCUCCCGGCUUAACUGGGAGGGUGCGCUACAAACUGUCUGACUAGAGUGUGGGAUGGGUAAGUGGAAUUCCUGGUGUAGCGGUGAAAUGCGCAGAUAUCAGGAGGAACACCGGUGGCGAAGGCGGGUCUCUGGGCAACAACUGACGCUGAGGAGCGAAAGCGUGGGGGAGCGAACAGG
This 254-nucleotide ribosomal RNA is filed under the name uncultured bacterium. RNAcentral's name for it is "partial 16S ribosomal RNA". It matches the Rfam family "Bacterial small subunit ribosomal RNA", at positions 524 to 776 of the family's 1533-position model. The record is from RNAcentral.